Molecule: ribosomal RNA, 250 nt
Filed under: uncultured bacterium
Lineage: Bacteria
Description: partial 16S ribosomal RNA
Rfam family: Bacterial small subunit ribosomal RNA
Source: RNAcentral
GCAAGUCGAGCGGUAACAGAUCUAGCUUGCUAGAUGCUGACGAGCGGCGGACGGGUGAGUAACGCGUAGGUAUCUACCCAGUAGCGGGGGAUAAGCCAGAGAAAUUUUGUCUCAUACCGCAUACGCCCUUCGGGGGAAAGCAGGGGAUCUUCGGACCUUGCACUAUUGGAUGAGCCUGCGUGAGAUUAGCUAGUUGGUGAGGUAAUGGCUCACCAAGGCGACGAUCUCUAGCUGGUCUGAGAGGAGGAUC